GGUCCCAUAGCUCAGUUGGUUAGAGCACCUGGCUUUUAAUCAGGGUGUCGAAGGUUCAAGUCCUUCUGGGAUCACCA
RNAcentral lists this transfer RNA (77 nucleotides) under Mycoplasmatota bacterium. RNAcentral describes it as "Tenericutes bacterium tRNA-Lys". It matches the Rfam family "tRNA". From Rfam's summary of the family: Transfer RNA (tRNA) molecules are approximately 80 nucleotides in length. Their secondary structure includes four short double-helical elements and three loops (D, anti-codon, and T loops). RNAcentral also lists the same sequence under 1 other name. The record is from RNAcentral. Lineage: Bacteria; Bacillati; Mycoplasmatota.